CCCUUCUCAGGGUCACACCUGGAGAGUUUCCAUUACUCUACCAGUCUUGACUACAGGAGGGAGAGUCAAGCAGACUCAUAACGAUUCCAUUCCUAGCUUGGGCAGUGGCUAGCAAGUGGAAGGCAAUCUACUACAAGU
This is a small nucleolar RNA of Ornithorhynchus anatinus (platypus), 138 nucleotides long. NCBI's taxonomy places the organism in Eukaryota, Metazoa, Chordata, Mammalia, Monotremata, Ornithorhynchidae. The record is from RefSeq and is a predicted model, not a curated record.